UUCCGGUUGAUCCCGCCGGACCCCACUGCUAUCGAGGUGAGACUUAGCCAGGCCAGUCGAACGACUCGGACUAUGGCGAGAAGUGGCAAACUGCUCAGUAACACGUAGCUAACCUACCCUCAGGACGGAGACAACCCCGGGAAACUGGGGUUAAUCCCCGAUAGGCGUGAAUUCCUGGAAUGGUGUCACGCCGAAACGUUAACACACCAUGUUUGUGUACACGCCUGAGGAUGGGGCUGCGGCCGAUCAGGCAGUUGGUGAGGUAACGGCUCACCAAACCUUUGACCGGUACGGGCCGUGAGAGCGGUAGCCCGGAGAUGGACACUGAGACAAGGGUCCAGGACCUACGGGUCGCAGCCGGUACGAAACCUCCACAAUGCACGCAAGUGCGAUGGGGUUACCUCGAGUGCCGCCUGAAGAAGGCGGCUUUUCCAUUGUGUAAUGAGCCGUGGGAAUAAGGGGGGGGCAAGACUGGUGUCAGCCGCCGCGGUAACACCAGCCCCCCGAGUGGUGGGGAUGUUUAUUUGGCCUAAAACGUCCGUAGCCAGCUAGGUAAAUCUCUCGUUAAAUCCAGUGUCCUAAGCGUUGGGCUGCGAGAGAGACUGCCAAGCUAGAGGGUGGGAGAGGUCAGCGGUAUUUCUGGGGUAGGGGCGAAAUCCAUUGAUCCCAGGAGGACCACCAGUGGCGAAGGCUGCUGACUAGAACGCGCCUGACGGUGAGGGACGAAAGCUGGGGUAGCGAAUCGGAUUAGAUACCCGAGUAGUCCCAGCCGUAAACGAUGCAGGCUAGGUGUUGGGUUGGCCAUGUGCCGACUCAGUGCCACAGGGAAGCCAUUAAGCCUGCUGCCUGGGGAGUACGGUCGCAAGGCUGAAACUUAAAGGAAUUGGCGGGAGAGCACCACCAGGCGUGAAGCCUGCGGUUUAAUUGGAGUCAACGCCGGG
RNAcentral lists this ribosomal RNA (941 nucleotides) under uncultured archaeon. Its description in RNAcentral is "bacterial SSU rRNA". It matches the Rfam family "Archaeal small subunit ribosomal RNA", at positions 1 to 922 of the family's 1478-position model. The record is from RNAcentral.